UUAGGAGAUUUUAUUUUACAAGAAACAAACAUCUGAAAAUGGCAAGUGACGUUGUUAUUUUGGAAGAUAAAAAUAUGGCGGGUGUUUUCCCCUUCUGAAAAUAACUGACACAUUUGCAUCCUAAUGGCUAUUUAAAAAUAAAAUGACCAAAAAUAGUAUCUAUGAUGAUGGGAGUCCCUAAAUAUUUGCAUAACUACCCAUCACUCCGUGUCAAAUUGCAACUGAGGCUGCGAAAGGGAAGCACAUAAAUCGACGCCAUUUUUCAUCAGAUCCACAUGAAUAGUAGGUUUCUGUGCUCACAAAAUCCUAGUAAUAUCCUUUUAAUGAUAUCAAUAGAAAUAAGGAAUAAAGAAGAGCAGGAAACAUUUCCAUUUUGAGGAUUUAUGGAACAGAGAACUAUUUGACUUGUUUUUACUUUAACUUGGACUUUUUAACAAUAAUGCUUCUUAAAUUUUAAACUUUAUUGUUAUGCGUUUGUUUUUUUUUAACUUUCAAAGUAUUAAGUUGUAUUAAAUUUUGUUUAUUUGAUUGAAGUUUAUUUUUCUUAUAAUAACUUAAGAUAUUAUUCACAUAUGUUUCAUCUUAACAUUAUUUUUAUGCAUUUGUAUUUAUUUAUCUUUUAAUAAACUUUUUUUUCUUAA
Long non-coding RNA from Mytilus californianus (California mussel), 641 nucleotides. RefSeq lists it as uncharacterized. The transcript is spliced from 2 exons. The record is from RefSeq and is a predicted model, not a curated record. Lineage: Eukaryota; Metazoa; Mollusca; Bivalvia; Mytilida; Mytilidae.